CCGAUAUAUGUAUUUCAAAACACGUAUACUGCUUUAUGUUUUGCAAAAAAAAUACAAUACAAUAUGAACAAUGCAAACACAUAUAUAACUCAUGAUUAACCUUCUAUUUAUCUUCGUUACUGCAACUGCAAUGACUCGAAGUUGCAAAAAUCAUUUUAUCUGCGCUAUUCCUCAACACAGCAGCUUCGUCAAUACAGGGUAGCUAUCUAGGCACACAUUCAUUCUGGUCAAUUAUUUUGGAGGCAACUUACUGAAUAGUCAGAGACAUGCAAUAUAUGUGCCAUUGUGCAGCCUCCAACUCCUCCCACAGAAUAUAUUAUCAUCUCAAGCUGACUUGUCAUCUGUGUGGCAAUAGUGGUUAAUGUUGGGAUGGCACAUAAUUAAACUAAGAAGCCCACUUCGGUCAUUUUAUAUUUAAUCCAUUUCCUGUGUGCUCCGAACCAUGUGUAUUUUAAAUACUUAAGGAAUAUAUUAAUACAAAUUGUUGCAUUAGAACCAUAGGAUUGUCUAUCUUAUAGUAUUUAGAAAGUUUAGAACACAUAAAGAUGGUGCGCGGACCAAAACUUCAAUUUCCAUGCAAAGUAUAAUGACAACAUGGCAUUCUAUUAUUUUUGUGUGUGAGUGCAAUUAAGAUAAUUAAUGCUGAUUAUGCUUGGUUGUAAAGCAAAGCCACAACCGGUACCACAAGGGCAUUGGAGAAAUGAACGUGACUGCUUAUUUGGUUAUUCCACAUGCUCUCGCAUCCAAUUCCAACUCCUAUAAAUACCAUCUUUGGCAAUUCUAAUUUCACAAAUUAAGCAUUUCUUAGUAGCCAAGUCUAAUAAUUAGUAAACAUUUUUCCAAUAUUAGUUUGUUGUUUUGCAGAGAAUAACAUGUCUUCCAUUGGGGCACGUUCAGCUGAAAUUUAUGUUAUGGAGAAGAGGCAGAAAGAGAAGUUGAAGAGAAUGGAAGAGGAAAGAGUACGAAGAGGUGAGGUGAGUACUGAAGAGAGAAAGGAGAUUAGUUCUAGUGUGGGAAAGAACAAGGUGCAUCCAGGUAGUGAACAAGGAGUCACAUCCGAUAAUGUCUUUAGGGCGUAAUGUAGGAUAAUAAUAACUCCCCAAAACUAUAGUUUUUCACAUGCCCACCACCAUUACCUUUUGUUUUUGUUCUAUAACUCUACAUGUUUUGUGUGAUUAAGUUUUAAAUGUUUGUUUGAAUAGCUCCCCUAAGCUCACCGAAAAAGAAAACCUUGUUAAUUUAGUUAUUAUAUAGAAGUGAUAAUAGACUGUUAAUGUUAUUAAUGGCGUGGGCUUUUAAAUUAGCCGUUUGUAACAUGUCUCAAUAUUGAAUGUGUUAUGUCAAAAGAGUGCUUUGCCGCUUUGUAUCUACGAUCAGAAUAAAAGCGUCUUCGUGCAUAUGUUUUCCAAAUCUA
Glycine soja is the source of this 1414-nucleotide long non-coding RNA. RefSeq lists it as uncharacterized. Lineage: Eukaryota; Viridiplantae; Streptophyta; Magnoliopsida; Fabales; Fabaceae. The transcript has 2 exons. The record is from RefSeq and is a predicted model, not a curated record.